GAAAAGGCUGCUGAUGGAGAAGGUUAGAACUGCCUGGCAGAAGAUUACCGCCCGUUUGGUGAUUAACAAUCAGGACGGCCUUUUCCAAAGCUCUACCUCAUUUAGCAGACUGAGGUUUGAGCUAAGAAUAAGUCUUUGCUCUUAAAGCUGCGAGGAGGAGGGCGAACAGCAAUUUCCCACCAUUUUCACUGCUCUCCUGAUGUUUACGCCUGUGUCAGGCUCCGUCCUAAUUUUGCGGUCCCAGUUAACUGGCUUAACGCAAGCACAGGGAAGGCAAUCUUUGCUGAGCGUGCUCUUCCCGGGUUGGAAGCUAUGGGCUUGGCCGUGCCUGAGAACCUGAGCAGACCCCAGACGAGCAUGCUAAAGGGCUCCUCACGAUCCUCAGUUUGCUGUCUGCAGAAGGGCUCGCCCCGGGCUGUGUUGGGGUACUUAAUUCACUUUUCGUCUUGUGCGUGAAAACGGCUCCAAGAGAUUCUCCUCCUGCGGCAAGAGAUCUGGAAAGGUCUGAAAGUUUUCAGAGACUCAGCAGUGAAGGUCAUAAGAGGGACUGGAGUUUUGGCCCAUGCAUCUGCUCACUGAAACUCGGUCAUCUCAUAUCGAGGACAACAAACCAGCACCAGUCUGCAAGAGCACGGCAACGCAGAACCCAGAAAGAUCGUUUUUUAUUAUAUGAGCAGAAGCUUUUGGCUGCUCGGGAGUUCUCCUCUCUGUUGCAUGUGAAACUGCUGCAAAGGGAAUUAAUCACUGAGACAGCGUGA
RNAcentral lists this long non-coding RNA (758 nucleotides) under Struthio camelus australis. Its description in RNAcentral is "lncRNA (ENSSCUG00000015397.1)". Lineage: Eukaryota; Metazoa; Chordata; Aves; Struthioniformes; Struthionidae. The record is from RNAcentral.